AAAGUCUCCAAGCAUUUUGGUGAAUCCCCUCUACCGACUUAUGAACCAGUUUUUGACUGGGAAAAUGAAAGAUCAUUAAUAUUUGGGCAAAGGAUUCCUGAAGCUCAUAUGUCCCAGUAUACGAGCGGUCUGAAGAUUGCUGUGAAAGUCCUAUCAUUGUCAUUUCAAGCUGGACUAGUUGAGCCGUUUCAUGGCACAAUUUGUUUAUAUAAUAGGGAGCGAAGAGAA
This 228-nucleotide unclassified non-coding RNA is filed under the name Hevea brasiliensis (rubber tree). Lineage: Eukaryota; Viridiplantae; Streptophyta; Magnoliopsida; Malpighiales; Euphorbiaceae. The record is from RNAcentral.